RNAcentral lists this ribosomal RNA (383 nucleotides) under Strombidium sp. RNAcentral describes it as "partial small subunit ribosomal RNA". It matches the Rfam family "Eukaryotic small subunit ribosomal RNA", at positions 582 to 975 of the family's 1831-position model. The record is from RNAcentral. Lineage: Eukaryota; Ciliophora; Spirotrichea; Strombidiidae.
AUUCCAGCUCCAAUAGCGUAUAUUAAAGUUGUUGCAGUUAAAAAGCUCGUAGUUGGAUUUCUGGGAGGGUGCCAAUGUCCGUCGUCGUACGUGUUGCAGCGGCGCCCUUCCAUCCUUCUGUUAACGACUUUGGGCAUUCACUUGCCGGAGUCGGGCUCAGAUAUUUUACCUUGAGAAAAUUAGAGUGUUUCAGGCAGGCUAGGCCGGAAUACAUUAGCAUGGAAUAAUGGAAUAGGACUACGGUCUCUUUGUUGGUUUGAGGGACUGCAGUAAUGAGGAAUAGGGAUAGUUGGGGGCAUUAGUAUUUAAUUGUCAGAGGUGGAAUUCUCGGAUUUCUUAAAGACCACCCCCCCCGCCACCAUCUCCCAACCCUGUUCUCAUCA